RNAcentral lists this ribosomal RNA (504 nucleotides) under uncultured Archaeospora. RNAcentral describes it as "SSU rRNA". It matches the Rfam family "Eukaryotic small subunit ribosomal RNA", at positions 569 to 1079 of the family's 1831-position model. The record is from RNAcentral. Lineage: Eukaryota; Fungi; Glomeromycota; Glomeromycetes; Archaeosporales; Archaeosporaceae.
AGCAGCCGCGGUAAUUCCAGCUCCAAUAGCGUAUAUUAAAGUUGUUGCAGUUAAAAAGCUCGUAGUUGAAUUUUAGGCCUGGCCGGGCGGUCCGUCUUUGGCGAGUACUGUUCUGUGUCGGGUCUUACCUUCUGGUAAACCGGCAUGUUCCUUUAUCGUGUAUGCUGGGGAACCAGGACCAUUACCUUGAAAAAAUUAGAGUGUUUAAAGCGGGCUUUUGCUUGAAUAGAUUAGCAUGGAAUAAUAAAAUAGGACGUUGGUUCUAUUUUGUUGGUCUAGGACCACCGUAAUGAUUAAUAGGGAUAGUUGGGGGCAUUAGUAUUCAAUUGUCAGAGGUGAAAUUCUUGGAUUUAUUGAAGACUAACUAUUGCGAAAGCAUUUGCCAAGGAUGUUUUCAUUAAUCAAGAACGAGAGUUAGGGGAUCGAAGACGAUCAGAUACCGUCGUAGUCUUAACCAUAAACUAUGCCGACUAGGAAUCGGGCGACGUUAUUUUCACGACUCGC